GAGAGAGAACAGAGAGUAGAGCUCUCCACCGUCUCCUUCACACCGUUGAUGCGACUCCGACUGGCACGCCACCACUAUUCGACUUCUCCACUCGCCUGUCUUGCUAUCGGCUCCACGGUCCUGACAUUAGCUUUUCCCCCAAUUUCAAACCCUAGCUUUUAAAUCCUACAGAUCUAGAAAUCCCUCUUCUUCUUCUUCUUCUUCUUCUUCUUCUUCUUCUCUCUCUCUCUGGUCUAACUCCAAAGAGUCCGGUUUGGACGAGGUCGGCCGGAUAGACGACGAGCAGAAUGCCGUUGCGAAGAGCAAAGUUUUGAGUCUGAUUCUGAUCACCGGCGAGAAAGAUAGCAAGCCGGUAAUGUAUCCUCCGCCGAAGCUCGUCCAGUUCUUGAUUUAUUCUCCUUGUCGCACCUCACUCCUCCACUCCACUGUAGUUCUCGAACUUAACAAAACCCUAAAAGUUAUCCACCCACACUCUUACCUCUGCUUCCAUUCUCUGCUCCCCCGACUGGUAUGAGCUUCGGAGAUUGAAGUACCUUCUAAAUUUUGUUUUGGCCAUUUCUCCUUUUGCUUAUAAGCCAAAGUCAGAAAAACACGGGUAGCGAUUAAAUGAUAUUUUGAAAAUACCAUUAGGUGCCCUCGAAAGUUUUGACAAAUUACCUACCCUUACCUUCUCCUUUCGACCUCAAAACAGGUCUCCCUGUUAUCUCUCUCGAUGCUCUCCGGACAACGUCAUUCCUCCGACGCCUCCGACGUUGCUCUCGCCUGUGGCUACGAGUUUGGUAAGGAGGUUUUAAUUUGAUGAGUUUGAAUUCGUUUGUCUAUUUCACAUUCCUUCUGCAAUAAUGAGACUUUCAUAUUGGGUAAUUUGGUGUCGUUGAAUCUAUGUAUAUGAAAAUAAGGAUCUCUUUGAAAUCGGGUCGUUGGUUCAAAAUCCUGAUGUAGGUUGGUUCAAUUUACUUUUUGGUUAAUUAUCUAUUGAUGUUUGUUUACAUAGUUGAAUUGGGUAUAAAUAGUGGAAGCGAUAGAAUUGAGUUUUUGGUUGGGAGGAUCACUGGAUAAGAAUUGGGGCUGAUAUAUGCAUCUAGCUAAAUCCCACUCCAUAGUUGUUCGAAUUUUCUAUUCAGUCUUAGAAGAAGAGAGAAAUAUAGGCUAUUUUUUACUCAUACCCAUUUCCCCUAAAUUCUCUCUGUCUCUGCUUAUAGUUUAGUAGCAUUUGAUACAAGACUUACCUACUUUGAUAAAUAAAAUUACAUGUGCAAGCUUCUCAUGGAACCAUGGAUGUUUGUUUUUCCACCUCUUGUUGAUGUGAUUAUAAUUUCUUACUAAUCAAGUGUGUAGUUUCUGGCUUCUUCUGCAAUAUGCCUUUGUGGCAUUGCUUUCCCUAAUCUUAUGUUGACAGAUCAUUUAUUUGAAUAGCCAAACAUGAAUUCACAUGAUGUAGAUUAGCUGUAGCAUAAAAGAGAGAUUUACGAACUGAAUUGCUCUGCAAAUCCAAUGCACAAAAUACCAUGUGCAGACUGGUAGUCUCUACAAGGAUGUGAGUAGUAAUAUGUAAGGCCUAUUCUGGUUUGGUUGAGGCAGUGGUGAUUGUAUAUUUUUCACCGUGAUUGUAUAUUUGAUGCCAGAGCUUGCGUACGAGGGCAAGUCAGCAGGAGAACAAGGCUAAAUUACAAGCAAUCCAAGGGAAGGUUUGCGGUGAGAGCCUCUGUGAAAGACAUAGCCUUUGACCAGUUUACCGUUUUGUGGAGGCGUGGUCUGCAAGCUGACAUUGAAAAGCUAGCUAAUGCUUUUGGGCUGACUCUUGGUCCCAGAGAGCAACUGUUUUACAUGCAUCAAUGGCAGCCUAGGUGGUAGUGUAUGAGGCCUGGUGUCUCAGGACAAAGAGAGGCAUCCUUUAUCUCAAUGACAGUUCCAGAAAGGUAAAGUCGAGACACGUAUCGUAUGGAGAGAGGAAGACCAGAUCAUUAGUGGCAGACUAGUAUAAACAUUAGUUACGCUAGUAGACAUAAAUUAUCCCCUUUAGCUAGGAAUUAUGGCUGCUAGUUCUACCAUGCAAAGAGUUUAUGGAUUAGAUAGGAAUGCUUCAUAUCACAGUUACAAGACCUUUGCUAUGAGUUUAU
Molecule: long non-coding RNA, 2120 nt
Organism: Argentina anserina (silverweed cinquefoil)
Lineage: Eukaryota; Viridiplantae; Streptophyta; Magnoliopsida; Rosales; Rosaceae
Exons: 5
Source: RefSeq, a predicted model, not a curated record